GCCCCUGUAGCUUAAUAGGAAGAGCGCCUCCGUCCUAAGGAGGAGGUUGCAGGUUCGAGCCCUGCCAGGGGCA
RNAcentral lists this transfer RNA (73 nucleotides) under bacterium. RNAcentral describes it as "tRNA-Arg". It matches the Rfam family "tRNA". From Rfam's summary of the family: Transfer RNA (tRNA) molecules are approximately 80 nucleotides in length. Their secondary structure includes four short double-helical elements and three loops (D, anti-codon, and T loops). The record is from RNAcentral.